This 121-nucleotide small RNA is filed under the name Heterosigma akashiwo. RNAcentral's name for it is "partial Betaproteobacteria transfer-messenger RNA". Lineage: Eukaryota; Raphidophyceae; Chattonellales; Chattonellaceae. The record is from RNAcentral.
GUCAGAGGAAGAAAGUAAGGAAAAAAGUCUUAUUGUAAUAUAAUAAAUACUUAUGAUAAGCUGUGUUGUGGUAGUAUAAAAGCUAGCUGUAGUGGCCGUCACUUUGUUACUAUAAAUAAAC